This 407-nucleotide ribosomal RNA is filed under the name Verrucomicrobiota bacterium. RNAcentral's name for it is "Verrucomicrobia bacterium partial 16S ribosomal RNA". It matches the Rfam family "Bacterial small subunit ribosomal RNA", at positions 355 to 776 of the family's 1533-position model. The record is from RNAcentral. Lineage: Bacteria; Pseudomonadati; Verrucomicrobiota.
UGGGGAAUAUUGGACAAUGGAGGAAACUCUGAUCCAGCAAUUCUGUGUGUGUGAAGAAGGUUUUAGGACUGUAAAACGCUUUUAGUAGGGAAGAAAAAAAUGACGGUACCUACAGAAGAAGCAACGGCUAAAUACGUGCCAGCAGCCGCGGUAAUACGUAUGUUGCGAGCGUUAUCCGGAAUUAUUGGGCUUAAAGGGCAUCUAGGCGGUAAGACAAGUUGAAGGUGAAAACCUGUGGCUCAACCAUAGGCUUGCCUACAAAACUGUUGAACUAGAGUACUGGAAAGGUGGGUGGAACUACACGAGUAGAGGUGAAAUUCGUAGAUAUGUGUAGGAAUGACGAUGAUGAAGAUAACUCACUGGACAGAAACUGACGCUGAAGUGCGAAAGCUAGGGGAGCAAACAGG